RNAcentral lists this ribosomal RNA (81 nucleotides) under Aglaia odorata. RNAcentral's name for it is "partial 26S ribosomal RNA". It matches the Rfam family "Eukaryotic large subunit ribosomal RNA", at positions 1 to 79 of the family's 3401-position model. The record is from RNAcentral. Lineage: Eukaryota; Viridiplantae; Streptophyta; Magnoliopsida; Sapindales; Meliaceae. RNAcentral also lists the same sequence under 5 other names.
UGCGACCCCAGGUCAGGCGGGACUACCCGCUGAGUUUAAGCAUAUCAAUAAGCGGAGGAAAAGAAACUUACCAGGAUUCCC